UAGGGAAUUGUUCGCAAUGGGCGCAAGCCUGACGACGCAACGCCGCGUGGAGGAUGAAGAUCUUCGGGUCGUAAACUCCUUUCGACCGAGAUGAACAUCCCGCGAUCGAAUAAGUCGCGGGACUGACAGUAUCGAGGGAAGAAGCCCCGGCUAACUCCGUGCCAGCAGCCGCGGUAAUACGGGGGGGGCAAGCGUUGUUCGGAAUUAUUGGGCGUAAAGGGUUCGUAGGUGGCCGGCUAAGUCAGACGUGAAAUCCCUCAGCUUAACUGGGGAACUGCGUCUGAGACUGGUCGGCUUGAGUGCAGGAGAGGAACGCGGAAUUCCAGGUGUAGCGGUGAAAUGCGUAGAUAUCUGGAGGAACACCGGUGGCGAAGGCGGCGUUCUGGACUGCAACUGACACUGAGGAACGAAAGCCAGGGGAGCAAACGGGAUUAGAUACCCCGGUAGUCCUGGCCCUAAACGAUGAAUGCUUGGUGUGGCGGGUAUCGAUCCCUGCCGUGCCGAAGUU
Molecule: ribosomal RNA, 508 nt
Filed under: uncultured Acidobacteriota bacterium
Lineage: Bacteria; Pseudomonadati; Acidobacteriota
Description: bacterial SSU rRNA
Rfam family: Bacterial small subunit ribosomal RNA
Source: RNAcentral